CGAAAGCCUGACGGAGCAACGCCGCGUGAGGGACAAAGGCCUUUGGGCUGUAAACCUCUUUUCUCAAGGAAGAAGAUCUGACGGUACUUGAGGAAUAAGCCACGGCUAAUUCCGUGCCAGCAGCCGCGGUAAUACGGGAGUGGCAAGCGUUAUCCGGAAUUAUUGGGCGUAAAGCGUCCGCAGGCGGCCGUCUAAGUCUGUUGUUAAAUCGUGGAGCUCAACUCCAUCACGGCAAUGGAAACUGUUCGGCUUGAGUAUGGUAGGGGCAGAGGGAAUUUCCGGUGUAGCGGUGAAAUGCGUAGAUAUCGGGAAGAACACCAGUGGCAAAAGCGCUCUGCUGGGCCAUUACUGACGCUCAUGGACGAAAGCCAGGGGAGCGAAAGGGAUUAGAUACCCCUGUAGUCCUGGCCGUAAACGAUGAACACUAGAUGUUGGGGGAAUCGACCCCCUCGGUGUCGUAGCUAACGCGUUAAGUGUUCCGCCUGGGGAGUACGCACGCAAGUGUGAAACUCAAAGGAAUUGACGGGGGACCGCACAAGCGGUGGAGUAUGUGGUUUAAUUCGAUGCAACGCGAAGAACCUUACCAAGGCUUGACAUCCUGCGAAUCUCUAAGAAACUAGAGAGUGCCUUCGGGAACGCAGUGACAGGUGGUGCAUGGCUGUCGUCAGCUCGUGUCGUGAGAUGUUGGGUUAAGUCCCGCAACGAGCGCAACCCACGUUUUUAGUUGCCAGCAUUAAGUUGGGCACUCUAGAAAGACUGCCGGUGACAAACCGGAGGAAGGUGUGGACGACGUCAAGUCAUCAUGCCCCUUACGCCUUGGGCUACACACGUACUACAAUGCUGCAGACAAAGAGUAGCGAUCUUGCAAAAGUUAGCUAAUCUCAUAAACUGCGGCUCAGUUCAGAUCGUAGGCUGCAACUCGCCUACGUGAAGGAGGAAUCGCUAGUAAUCGCAGGUCAGCAUACUGCGGUGAAUACGUUCCCGGUCCUUGUACACACCGCCCGUCACACCAUGGAAGUUGGCCAUGCCCGAAGUCGUUACUCUAACCUUUUGGAAGAGGGCGCCGAAGGCAGGGCUAAUGACUGGGGUGAAGUCGUAACAAGGUAGCCGUAGCGGAAGCUGCGGCUGGAUCACCUCCUAA
This 1141-nucleotide ribosomal RNA is filed under the name Candidatus Synechococcus spongiarum. Its description in RNAcentral is "bacterial SSU rRNA". It matches the Rfam family "Bacterial small subunit ribosomal RNA", at positions 376 to 1533 of the family's 1533-position model. Lineage: Bacteria; Bacillati; Cyanobacteriota; Cyanophyceae; Synechococcales; Synechococcaceae. The record is from RNAcentral.